AUUGAACGCUGGCGGCAGGCCUAACACAUGCAAGUCGAGCGGAUGAAGGGAGCUUGCUCCUGGAUUCAGCGGCGGGCGGGUGAGUAAUGCCUAGGAAUCUGCCUGGUAGUGGGGGAUAACGUCCGGAAACGGGCGCUAAUACCGCAUACGUCCUGAGGGAGAAAGUGGGGGAUCUUCGGACCUCACGCUAUCAGAUGAGCCUAGGUCGGAUUAGCUAGUUGGUGGGGUAAAGGCCUACCAAGGCGACGAUCCGUAACUGGUCUGAGAGGAUGAUCAGUCACACUGGAACUGAGACACGGUCCAGACUCCUACGGGAGGCAGCAGUGGGGAAUAUUGGACAAUGGGCGAAAGCCUGAUCCAGCCAUGCCGCGUGUGUGAAGAAGGUCUUCGGAUUGUAAAGCACUUUAAGUUGGGAGGAAGGGCAGUAAGUUAAUACCUUGCUGUUUUGACGUUACCAACAGAAUAAGCGCCGGCUAACUUCGUG
Molecule: ribosomal RNA, 484 nt
Filed under: uncultured bacterium
Lineage: Bacteria
Description: partial 16S ribosomal RNA
Rfam family: Bacterial small subunit ribosomal RNA
Source: RNAcentral